UACGGAAGGCAGCAGUGGGGAAUAUUGCACAAUGGGCGCAAGCCUGAUGCAGCCAUGCCGCGUGUAUGAAAAAGGCCUUCGGGUUGUAAAGUACUUUCAGUCGUGAGGAAGGUGUUAAGGUUAAUAACCUUAGCAAUUGACGUUAGCGACAGAAGAAGCACCGGCUAACUCCGUGCCAGCAGCCGCGGUAAUACGGAGGGUGCGAGCGUUAAUCGGAAUUACUGGGCGUAAAGGGCACGCAGGCGGUUAAUUAAGUUGGAUGUGAAAUCCCCGGGCUUAACCUGGGAAUGGCAUUCAAGACUGGUUAGCUAGAGUCUUGUAGAGGGGGUAGAAUUCCGAUGUGUAGCGGUGAAAUGCGUAGAGAUGUGGAGGAAUACCGGUGGCGAAGGCGGCCCCUGGACAAAGACUGGACGCUCAUGUGCGAAAGCGUGGGGAGCAAACGAGGGAUUAGAUACCCGU
RNAcentral lists this ribosomal RNA (459 nucleotides) under uncultured bacterium. RNAcentral describes it as "bacterial SSU rRNA". It matches the Rfam family "Bacterial small subunit ribosomal RNA", at positions 340 to 789 of the family's 1533-position model. The record is from RNAcentral.